Molecule: ribosomal RNA, 117 nt
Filed under: archaeon
Lineage: Archaea
Source: RNAcentral
UAGGACGAUCAUAGUGGCUUGGGUACACCCGAUCUCAUCUCGAACUCGGAAGUUAAGCAAGCUUACGUUCCAGAUUGUACUGUAUUCUUUUACGGGAACUCUGGAAAGUUGUCCAUU